CAGCUGGCAACCUUUGGCAGAUUUUGUUGCUGCAAGGUUUUGCGAAACGAUCCGUUUUGCAUUUUUGUUGGUGUUGCUGCCCGACCGGGUUUGCUUGCAGGUAAGUGUUUGUUGAUUAAUUUAAUUUUUUGUUUGUUUUCAGGUACUGGUGAUUUGGCUUUGGCCAGUUUUGUUGGCCGCAUGUUGGUAUUUGGUACGUCUAGUGUAUAAAUAGGGGUUGCUGCUGUAGGCGAGUAAUUUACAGGUGCAGGCGCAUUAGUUGG
This is a long non-coding RNA of Drosophila willistoni, 263 nucleotides long. RefSeq lists it as uncharacterized. The transcript is spliced from 3 exons. NCBI's taxonomy places the organism in Eukaryota, Metazoa, Arthropoda, Insecta, Diptera, Drosophilidae. The record is from RefSeq and is a predicted model, not a curated record.